AUUGAACGCUGGCGGCAUGCUUUACACAUGCAAGUCGAACGGUAACAGGCCGCAAGGUGCUGACGAGUGGCGAACGGGUGAGUAAUGCAUCGGAACGUGCCCAGUCGUGGGGGAUAACGCAGCGAAAGCUGUGCUAAUACCGCAUACGAUCUAUGGAUGAAAGCGGGGGACCGUAAGGCCUCGCGCGAUUGGAGCGGCCGAUGUCAGAUUAGGUAGUUGGUGGGGUAAAGGCUCACCAAGCCAACGAUCUGUAGCUGGUCUGAGAGGACGACCAGCCACACUGGAACUGAGACACGGUCCAGACUCCUACGGGAGGCAGCAGUGGGGAAUUUUGGACAAUGGGCGCAAGCCUGAUCCAGCAAUGCCGCGUGCAGG
Molecule: ribosomal RNA, 375 nt
Filed under: uncultured bacterium
Lineage: Bacteria
Description: bacterial SSU rRNA
Rfam family: Bacterial small subunit ribosomal RNA
Source: RNAcentral